AAGAAAUUAAAAACUAUAAUGGCAAUGAAACAUAUCGGGUUUCCACCAAAUUCCAACUCUGCUAUAGUCAUUAUGCCUUUGGUCAUCUUUUGAUCUCGCUUUCAGAAGAAAAGUGACUGAUUUGCUGGGAAAAUGUGAAGUGAGAUUGAAGCUGAUGAACUUAAGUGAAUGUGAAGUUCAAUGAGUGUGAAGAUGAAUCUGAAAUGAAUUGUAAGGUGAGAGUGAGGUUGAAUGACAUUGAGAGGAGAGUCUGUGUGGUGUGAAUUGUGUUUUUCAGUGUUGAAAUUAAG
This 290-nucleotide long non-coding RNA is filed under the name Lathyrus oleraceus (garden pea). RNAcentral describes it as "Pisum sativum (pea) long non-coding RNA (PSAT_LNC028776)". Lineage: Eukaryota; Viridiplantae; Streptophyta; Magnoliopsida; Fabales; Fabaceae. The record is from RNAcentral.